GUUUCAACAAUCCUGUAACUUUAAACCCACAGAAUCCAUGGAGAAAAGUGACAGUGAUGAAGGUCAAGAGUUGACUUCUAGGGUGAUGGACAAAGAACUUGGGAUAGUGACCAUGACUUCUGUUUAUUACUAUAUACGUGCUAAUACACUGUGGUGGAUACUCAGUCCUACUGACCCAAAUGCGGAUGCUCAAGGAGUAAAGUGGUAUUCAGCAUAAGUGCAGAUGGCAGAAUCUCAUUCUGAUGAAUCGACCCUGCAUUUCUCCAGUUCUUGCUGUAGCUGUCUUACAGUAGCAGGAGGUCUGCUCUGAUCUUUCUCUUCUUGUGAAAUCAUUAUC
Long non-coding RNA from Dromaius novaehollandiae (emu), 337 nucleotides. RefSeq lists it as uncharacterized. The record is from RefSeq and is a predicted model, not a curated record. The transcript has 3 exons. Lineage: Eukaryota; Metazoa; Chordata; Aves; Casuariiformes; Dromaiidae.